GUGGGGAAUCUUCCGCAAUGGACGAAAGUCUGACGGAGCAACGCCGCGUGAGUGAUGAAGGUCUUCGGAUUGUAAAGCUCUGUUAAUCGGGACGAAAGAGCCUAGUGUGAAUAAUGCUAGGAAGUGACGGUACCGGAAUAGAAAGCCACGGCUAACUACGUGCCAGCAGCCGCGGUAAUACGUAGGUGGCAAGCGUUGUCCGGAAUUAUUGGGCGUAAAGCGCGCGCAGGCGGAUCUGCCAGUCUGUUUUAAAAGUUCGGGGCGUAACCCCGUGAUGGGAUGGAAACUACAGAUCUAGAGUAUCGGAGAGGAAAGUGGAAUUCCUAGUGUAGCGGUGAAAUGCGUAGAUAUUAGGAAGAACACCAGUGGCGAAGGCGACUUUCUGGACGAAAACUGACGCUGAGGCGCGAAAGCCAGGGGAGCGAACGGGAUUAGAACCCCGGUAGUCC
Molecule: ribosomal RNA, 449 nt
Filed under: uncultured bacterium
Lineage: Bacteria
Description: partial 16S ribosomal RNA
Rfam family: Bacterial small subunit ribosomal RNA
Source: RNAcentral